RNAcentral lists this long non-coding RNA (295 nucleotides) under Homo sapiens (human). RNAcentral describes it as "HSALNT0249450". The record is from RNAcentral. Lineage: Eukaryota; Metazoa; Chordata; Mammalia; Primates; Hominidae.
CCUUCCUCGAAACUAAUUUUUUACAAUUAUUUUAACUGUUCCAUUUUCUCUAUUUGUUAUGUACUUCACUGUGUAUACAAUUCUAUACUGAUUACUCUGCAAUCACAUUCCCUCCAUUUAAAUAUUUUCCAGCAUUUGGACUUCAGCCUUCCAACUCUGUAUGCUGUGCUGUAGCAUCGACCAUCAUGUCCCCAAACCGUAUAUGAAACUCAGUCUUCUUUCCCGAGAAAUGCGCUUAAACCCCAUUUAUCCAAUCACCUACUUAUAUAAUUCCCUACACCAAGCAAUCUCCAAC